AUUGAACGCUAGCGGGAUGCUUUACACAUGCAAGUCGAACGAGGGGCGGAGGGGGGAGUAAUAUAUCGGAACGUGCCCAGUAGCGGGGGAUAACUACGAGAAAGAGUGGCUAAUACCGCAAAAUAUUGGAGCGGCAGAUAUCGGAUUAGCUAGUUGGUGGGGUAAAGGCUCACCAAGGCAACGAUCCGUAGCUGGUGUGAGAGGACGACCGGCCACACGGGUACUGAGACACGGCCCAGACUCCUACGGGAGGCAGCAGUGGGGAAUUUUGGGCAAUGGGGGAAACCCUGAUCCAGCCAUCCCGCGUGUAUGAGAAGGCCUUCGGGUUGUAAAGUACUUUUGGCAGAGAAGCGGUAUCUGCAGAAUAAGCACCGGCUAACUACGUGCCAGCAGCCGCGGUAAUUC
This 405-nucleotide ribosomal RNA is filed under the name uncultured bacterium. RNAcentral's name for it is "partial 16S ribosomal RNA". It matches the Rfam family "Bacterial small subunit ribosomal RNA", at positions 30 to 526 of the family's 1533-position model. The record is from RNAcentral.